Molecule: ribosomal RNA, 304 nt
Filed under: uncultured bacterium
Lineage: Bacteria
Description: bacterial SSU rRNA
Rfam family: Bacterial small subunit ribosomal RNA
Source: RNAcentral
GGACGAACGCUGGCGGCGUGCUUAACACAUGCAAGUCGAACGGUGAACCGGGCUUCGGCCCGGGGAUCAGUGGCGAACGGGUGCGUAACACGUGGGCAACCUGCCUCAGACACUGGGAUAACCCCGGGAAACCGGGGCUAAUACCGGAUACUCCGACCGGACUGCAUGAUCCGGCCGGGAAAGCUCCGACGGUCUGAGAUGGGCCCGCGGCCUAUCAGCUUGUUGGUGGGGUAACGGCCCACCAAGGCGACGACGGGUAGCUGGUCUGAGAGGACGACCAGCCACACUGGAACUGAGACACGGU